This 986-nucleotide long non-coding RNA is filed under the name Gossypium barbadense (sea-island cotton). Its description in RNAcentral is "long non-coding RNA (GBAR_LNC009653)". Lineage: Eukaryota; Viridiplantae; Streptophyta; Magnoliopsida; Malvales; Malvaceae. The record is from RNAcentral.
AGACAUUGAAAUGAUCAAUUUAUUAUUCUAUUAAGACUAUUACUUUAAAUAUAAAUUGUAAUAGGCCAAUUUUGAGCCUGGACCCAAGACCCAAAAAUAAACAGAAAUAAAACAUAAAAAUAAAUAGUCCAAAACAGUCCAAUUACAAAUUACUAGCCUAAAUUACAAUAGCCCAAACGGCCCAAUAAUAUUAAAACCCUAGCAGCCCAAAAAGAUCCAAAACUAAACUAAUUUUCAGCAAUGGUAGAAACCCUAGCCGCCAAACUUUAAGCCUGCCUAUGCCUACCGCCGCACGCCACAGCCUCUCCACGUGCGUCUGACACUCCAUUGCGGCCAUAUGCAAAAAACCACGUCUGACACUCCACUACGGCCAUCUGUAAAAAAACCAACACACAAAGUAUAAGAGACAACAAAGAAAAGACAAGGAACAACAACAAACAAAAACAAAAAGACAAAAACGGAUCUUGUAAUAUUGGCUAUAAAAGCCCCAACAUUAUCUUUGUAAUUCCCCCCCCCCGGAACAUAGAGAAAUCAAAUACAAUAACAAAAGAAUUUUGAAACAGAAUCAAGAAUCGAAAAUGUGCCUUUUUAUUUUAUUAUUCAAAAUAAAAUAAAUAAAUAAUAAUAAACUUACAGUCGUUUUGCUUUUUUAUCGCUUCCGGAGGCUAUCGUCGACUCCUGGACACCUCGUAACACGUUGGGUUUCUGAUAAGGGUCCGAAAGGGGAAACAGUGAGGCCGAAAGCCCUUGUUUUUUUAUUUUUCUCUUUUCAUUUUCAUCGUUUUUUUGGUUCAAAAACACCCAAAUCGGGUUUGCAAAGGGGAAAAGAGGUCUAAAGGGCCGAUUUUGGUGCACCUCCAGCCACCGUCCACGACAGGCCGCGAUGGUGCGGCAACUGACCGCCGAUGGCCUUCUUGGCUAAUUUUUAGGUUUAGCCUAGAGAGAGACAGGAGAAUAAAGAGUUUUUUUGUUUUGUUUUUCUUUUA